This 59-nucleotide transfer RNA is filed under the name Apaloderma vittatum (bar-tailed trogon). It matches the Rfam family "tRNA", at positions 8 to 63 of the family's 71-position model. Rfam says of the family: Transfer RNA (tRNA) molecules are approximately 80 nucleotides in length. Their secondary structure includes four short double-helical elements and three loops (D, anti-codon, and T loops). The record is from Rfam by way of RNAcentral. Lineage: Eukaryota; Metazoa; Chordata; Aves; Trogoniformes; Trogonidae.
UAGCUCAGUCGGUUAGAGCAUGGUGCUGAUAACACCAAGGUCAUGGGUUCAAUCCCUGU